AGUGAACGCUGGCGGUAGGCCUAACACAUGCAAGUCGAACGGCAGCACAGUAAGAGCUUGCUCUUACGGGUGGCGAGUGGCGGACGGGUGAGGAAUACAUCGGAAUCUACUUUUUCGGGGGGGAUAACGGAGGGAAACUUACGCUAAUAGCGCAUACGACCUACGGGUGAAAGCAGGAGAUCUUCACACCUUUCGCGAUUGAAUGAGCCGAUGCCGGAUUAGCUAGUUGGCGAGGUAAAGGCCCACCAAGGCAACGAUGCGUAGCUGGGCUGAGAGGAUGAUCAGCCACACUGGAACUGAGACACGGUCCAGACUCCUACGGGAGGCAGCAGUGGGGAAUAUUGGACAAUGGGCGCAAGCCUGACCCAGCCAUACCGCGUGAGUGAAGAAGGCCUUCGGGUUGUAAAGCCCUGUUGUUGGGAAAGAAAAGCAGCAGGUGAAUACCCCGCUGUUCUGACGGUACCCAAAGAAUAAGCACCGGCUAACUUCGUG
Molecule: ribosomal RNA, 492 nt
Filed under: uncultured bacterium
Lineage: Bacteria
Description: partial 16S ribosomal RNA
Rfam family: Bacterial small subunit ribosomal RNA
Source: RNAcentral